This is a small nucleolar RNA of Humulus lupulus (European hop), 106 nucleotides long. NCBI's taxonomy places the organism in Eukaryota, Viridiplantae, Streptophyta, Magnoliopsida, Rosales, Cannabaceae. The record is from RefSeq and is a predicted model, not a curated record.
AUACCAUGAUGCAGGCAAUUCCUUAACAACUCUUUGAAUAUCUCCCAUGCAUCAUAUGUGAUUCCCCUUCCAUUUGAUAGAAAUUAUUAAAUUCCCCUCUCAACUU